This 430-nucleotide small RNA is filed under the name Arabidopsis thaliana (thale cress). Its description in RNAcentral is "ATSL081790". The record is from RNAcentral. Lineage: Eukaryota; Viridiplantae; Streptophyta; Magnoliopsida; Brassicales; Brassicaceae.
GUUAUUUGUACUGAUUUUCAUAGGUUUUUGGGUAUUCCAUCUCUAAUCAAUAACUCAUGCAAAUAAAAUAAAAAAUAUUAUGUUAGAGCUAUUAACCGUACUUAAUCAGUAACAUAUAUAUAUGACAUCAUUCUACGAUGUUAAGUCGUAAUCUACAGUAACCUUACCUUACAGUGGGAGCAGACUUUGGAGUUUUGUGGGUGAUUGGUUGGGCUAUAACUGUACAAUUUUUGCUGUAGAGAUUUUGCUGUAGUUAUGUUGGCUGUAACUAUAACUUUUAUUGCUGUAGAAUUAUUGCUGUAAAUUUUUGACUUUAAAUAAUUUAUUAGAAAAUGGAUUAGUAAAAUAUAAUAGUUGUAAUAAAAAAUUUUAUAUAGUAAAUAAAAUGCCUUAUAUUACUAAUUUAAAUAAAUAUAUUAUGAUGAUAUAA